Molecule: ribosomal RNA, 253 nt
Filed under: uncultured bacterium
Lineage: Bacteria
Description: partial 16S ribosomal RNA
Rfam family: Bacterial small subunit ribosomal RNA
Source: RNAcentral
UACGGGGGGGGCAAGCGUUGUUCGGAAUUACUGGGCGUAAAGGGUUCGUAGGUGGCCAACUAAGUCAGACGUGAAAUCCCUCAGCUUAACUGGGGAACUGCGUCUGAGACUGGAUGGCUUGAGUGCAGGAGAGGAACGCGGAAUUCCAGGUGUAGCGGUGAAAUGCGUAGAUAUCUGGAGGAACGCCGGCGGCGAAAGCGGCUUGCUGGACCCCAUCUGACGCUGAUGCGCGAAAGCCAGGGGAGCGAACGGG